RNAcentral lists this long non-coding RNA (620 nucleotides) under Dromaius novaehollandiae (emu). Its description in RNAcentral is "lncRNA (ENSDNVG00000006167.1)". The record is from RNAcentral. Lineage: Eukaryota; Metazoa; Chordata; Aves; Casuariiformes; Dromaiidae.
UAGAAAUAGAGUUCAUGAGGUCCUUUCCUGACAAUUCAGAUUUCACCAGCUGUAAGAUGAGGAUCGCGUUAGUUAUGCAGACUUCACCCAUGAAGGAAACUGGAGGAGAGCUAUUGGUUAAUUUUUCUAAAUAGCUCUAAGGCUAUAAAGCACCCUGUGUCUGCAGCUCCAAAUUAGACUCUGGAUCUCAGGUAGCUCCUCGGAGGCAGUCACAGAUGUUUAAGACAAAAAUACCAGUCUGAAAAGAAGCCAAGGAGCCUGUUUUGGUUGCUGCCUGUACAUAACUAUGUGGUUAUUACAAAAGCCCUAACAUGCCACGGUCAAAGAGGAAGGCAGAAGGCAGGAUGAGAUGCUGUAAAGAGCCUUUGGCUCUGUCACAAGCCUUGAGCCUGUGGAGGAAGCUCUUUCCCUCAGAUCGGCCACCAGCUGACACUUCGGCUUGAGGAGAGGUGCCCCUGCUGCUGCGCGUGGGCCACCAAAUCGCACCCUCGGACCUUACGUGAGGGGCAGGGAGAACUGCUCUUUGGGAGAAGCCAUGUCUUUGAGAUGUGGAUGUGCCCAGGCUUCAGAUUUGAACACUUUGGAGAAGUGGUAGGUAAGUGGUUUAUGGUUAGAGUGAA